This 608-nucleotide ribosomal RNA is filed under the name uncultured bacterium. Its description in RNAcentral is "bacterial SSU rRNA". It matches the Rfam family "Bacterial small subunit ribosomal RNA", at positions 53 to 657 of the family's 1533-position model. The record is from RNAcentral.
ACAUGCAAGUCGAACGCGCAGCAUUCUGUAGCAAUACAGGGUGUGGGCGCGUGGCGAACGGGUGCGUAACACGUGGAUAACCUUCCUUCAGGUGGGGAAUAACCCAGUGAAAAUUGGGCUAAUACCGCAUAACAUGACGAUGCCACAUGGUGUUGUCUUCAAAGCCGCAAGGCGCCAGAAGAGGGAUCCGCGGCCGAUUAGCUUGUUGGCGAGGUAAUGGCUCACCAAGGCUUUGAUCGGUAGCCGGACUGAGAGGUUGGCCGGCCACACUGGAACUGAGACACGGUCCAGACUCCUACGGGAGGCAGCAGUGGGGAAUCUUGCACAAUGGACGAAAGUCUGGUGCAGCAACGCCGCGUGGGGGAUGAAGCUUCUCGGAGUGUAAACCCCUUUCGACCCGGAAGAAUGCCCGCAAGGGUUUGACGGUACGGGUAUAAGAAGCCCCGGCUAACUACGUGCCAGCAGCCGCGGUAAUACGUAGGGGGCCAGCGUUGCUCGGAAUUACUGGGCGUAAAGGGUCUGUAGGCGGUGCGGCAAGUCGAUAGUGAAAUCCCUAGGCUUAACCUAGGGGCUGCUAGCGAAACUGCCGUGCUAGAGUGUGAGAGAGG